CCAUCAUUAAGUUGGGCACUCUAAGUUGACUGCCGGUGACAAACCGGAGGAAGGUGGGGAUGACGUCAAAUCAUCAUGCCCCUUAUGAUUUGGGCUACACACGUGCUACAAUGGACAAUACAAAGGGCAGCGAAACCGCGAGGUCAAGCAAAUCCCAUAAAGUUGUUCUCAGUUCGGAUUGUAGUCUGCAACUCGACUACAUGAAGCUGGAAUCGCUAGUAAUCGUAGAUCAGCAUGCUACGGUGAAUACGUUCC
This 255-nucleotide ribosomal RNA is filed under the name Staphylococcus aureus. RNAcentral describes it as "partial 16S ribosomal RNA". It matches the Rfam family "Bacterial small subunit ribosomal RNA", at positions 1118 to 1374 of the family's 1533-position model. The record is from RNAcentral. Lineage: Bacteria; Bacillati; Bacillota; Bacilli; Caryophanales; Staphylococcaceae. RNAcentral also lists the same sequence under 1 other name.